UACGGAGGGUCCAAGCGUUAUCCGGAAUCAUUGGGUUUAAAGGGUCCGUAGGCGGAUAUUUAAGUCAGAGGUGAAAUCUCCGAGCUCAACUCGGAAACUGCCUUUGAUACUAUUUAUCUUGAAUUUCGUUGAUGUUGGCGGAAUCUAUCAUGUAGCGGUGAAAUGCAUAGAUAUGAUAUAGAACACCGAUUGCGAAGGCAGCUGGCUGGACGAACAUUGACGCUGAGGCACGAAAGCGUGGGUAGCGAACAGG
RNAcentral lists this ribosomal RNA (253 nucleotides) under uncultured bacterium. RNAcentral's name for it is "partial 16S ribosomal RNA". It matches the Rfam family "Bacterial small subunit ribosomal RNA", at positions 524 to 776 of the family's 1533-position model. The record is from RNAcentral.